UACGUAGGGGGCAAGCGUUGUCCGGAUUUAUUGGGCGUAAAGCGCGCGCAGGCGGUCUACCAAGUUCGGAGUGACAGUUUCCGGCUUAACCGGAAAAGGUCUUCGAAAACUGGUGGACUUGAGGACUUGAGGGGGAGACGGAAUUCCGGGUGGAGCGGUGAAAUGCGUAGAUAUCGGUAGGAACACCAGUGGCGAAGGCGGUCUCCUGGGGCAUUCUUGACGCUGAGGCGCGAAAGCUGGGGGAGCAAACGGG
Molecule: ribosomal RNA, 253 nt
Filed under: uncultured bacterium
Lineage: Bacteria
Description: partial 16S ribosomal RNA
Rfam family: Bacterial small subunit ribosomal RNA
Source: RNAcentral